GUGUUGGUUAGGGUUGUUUAGUUGGGUCUCUCUAGGCCCAUUGGGCUUAUUAUGAAUGAUUUUAGUUUUUGCUGUUGUGUAAUUUUCACCCAGGCGUGAAGUCACUUGUCACCUCAUUCACAAACGGUAACUUAUUUGAGACUCAAAAUUUACAACGGUAAGAAAAUAUAGACGUUAAAGAAGUAGCCAUUGAAAGAAGAAAUCCGAAGCUGCCUAUAUAAGUGGUUCGUGCUCACUCACUUACUUACCACAGUCAUUUCUUCUUCUUCUUCUGUAUUAUCACUUACUAUUCUCGUUGUUUCGUCCAAAGUUUAUCGAGAGCAAAGUUUCAUUCCAUUCAACAAAUUUCGUCCAAGGUUUCUCGUAGUCACUCGUAGAACUCUGCUUUUAAGUGUUCUUGCAGGUUCUCUGCGAGCAAAUAGCCAGAAACGGAAGGUUUUUCAUGAAAUUUCAUUGCAACGAAUGCAAAGAAAGAAAAACAGAGAGGCGGUUUAGACUUCAUACUUCAGACUCUGCUUUUGGGUUUGGUUACUUUGAUCCGAAUAAGUUCAUUAGCAGAGACAAUUUUUCUUCCUACACGUAAGGCAUUUUAUCUUGACGAAAGAUUUCAUUCUUUAUGCAUCGCAGAAAAAUAUGACCAUUAUUUGUUGACAAAUACUCGUAAAAUAUCUGUUAGUAACAUUUUUUAGUUUGACGAGAUGAUAGUUAUUGCAAUCUUUAUGCAAUUUUUGGCAGAAUUUUUUUUUUCAAAGAAAAAUAAACGUUUA
Arabidopsis lyrata subsp. lyrata is the source of this 767-nucleotide long non-coding RNA. RefSeq lists it as uncharacterized. Lineage: Eukaryota; Viridiplantae; Streptophyta; Magnoliopsida; Brassicales; Brassicaceae. The record is from RefSeq and is a predicted model, not a curated record. The transcript has 3 exons.